UAUAUACUGGCGUUACAAAGAGAUAUUUUGAAAAACUAUUCAAAAUAUGCACAAUGGAGGUAUUUACAAGAAAUAUCUCCAAUUUCUUUUGUUUCAUCUUUUUUUUUUUUUUUUGGGUGGGGGGGGCGAUUUAUUGUGUAGAACGUUUAGUUAUCUAGGUCUGUACACAAGGCACUGUUGUUUAAUCCCUAAUAGGGCACCAUGAAAACCAACGAGAACAUUGGCCGAUUUUGGCAGAUGAAGCAUCGUCACGUAAGUGCCGUCGACGCUGAAAGCUGGCGGACAGAAGAACUGGAUAUUUUUGGUUGCUGACGAGUAGCGGAGAGGCUGGACUGCUGGGGUGUAGCUCGAGAUUCAACUGGUUGUUUUAUUAGAAAUGCUUUGUAACGCUAUUUAAAGAUUAAAGACUGUAUGAAUGUCCCUCACUGUGGCAUUAUUUUUUUGCAGAAAGCUGUAAUCGGUGUUUAAUUUGAGUCCUGGAUGUACGCUUUGUAUGCCUUUUCACAGAUUCGGGUUUUAAUGUCGCUGUUGGUCUUUAAUGUCUUGCAGCUGCAUUUGUUUAUGAUAACCCCAUCAGAGGACGUCUUACCCAAAUUGCUUUAAUGUUGGCAGCGGCCGAGUUAUGGUUUACACUGAUGCUCCCAGCCACAUUCUCUAGGGGGCGCUGCAGGGUUUCCACAUACAACUGUGGCCCUAGCACCAAAAAUUGCGAAAACGGUCCUCUUGCAAUAAUGAAUCAAAAACUAAAACUAAAAAACUACCAGGCAAAAUUCAGCUUCUUAUACUUUAACUCGAUUUGGUCAUUGUCAUUAUAUAGCUGAUCAUACUAUCGACGCUAAGGUCUUAGGUUAGCGUUAUCUGUUUAAAAGCGUGAAAUAUACACAUGCAAAUAGACCGUCAUUCAUUUGGUGAUGGAAAGGAACUACGGUUUGGCUAAUUAAGGGAAUGAGAUUGGAGCCAAUGACGUUGGAGUCUCGCUAGUGGCCCUGGUUCCAUCAGUAGUUUUUUGCCGACAAAGGACGACCGCAGGGUAAGUUCCUGUAGUAAUUUCAUUGGUUGUACAGUGGCAAGGGCGCCCGCUACACCGCGUCGACCCCAGACCAGCUGAAAGAGCCCGUCUUCCACUCUGAUGAGCGCCGCAUGUUGAGACAACCUCACCUUCAGCUCCGCGACCUCCUUCUUGACUCCCCCAUUGUUUUCAUUAAGCGAAGAAUGAAUAUGCAAUCCUCUGUUCUUUUAGGGCUCAGUCACACCUUCUAGAAUGUUCUUUUUCUGUUAUCGUUGCCACUUAAUCCAAUCUGAACACCCGUGUCCACUGGACACCCCCCCCGAACACACUCCUGUACCCACUCCUAUACUCUACUCCUGUCUUUCCCAACGUAUUUUGUAGUUUUCUCGUUCCGUUACCUUCACCGACGGACGUUCGAGGUCCCCUCCUUAUGUUAACCAUGCAUCAUGUUGUCUGCUGUUAGGUUUAGGGUACGUGUACGUUUUUGCAACUACGGGGACUGCAUGUCACAGUAAGACAAUGGACUGAGUCAUCUUCCAAGGGGAAAAUGCGCCAGCCUAUCGUGGGAUGAAUGUAAUUCUGAGUGUGAAACAUCACAUAACACAUUGAUAUCAUUAUUUUGGUCUGUUAUUGUCAUAAGCUUAUGAACCCUUUGAUUUCAGCCCCAUGUUAGAGAUAAAGUUAUGUAAGAGUACUACAGUACUAUAUGUAACUUACAUAAGAGCUUUUGUAAAUGGGAAGGACUUCUGUGAUUUUCUUUGUGUCCUGCAUCCCAUGCAGAGUAUUCUCCGCCAUUUGCCUGUACUAGAUAACUGUUUAGAAGAUGGGUGGAUGGAUAGAUGGAUCCCACCAACCCAACCCUAACCCUAAUGGAAAUGUCACCAUUUAUAUAAUUACCCCCAUUUACGCUAAAACAGCAUCACCUGCUUGCAGUAUGUAACCACAACAGACUGUAUCUCAUGGCUUUAGAGAGAAUAAAUCUGAGAACAGCAUGGAAACAUCACUAAUCCACAGCCUAAAUAUCACAAUUACAAAAUGUAGCAUUUUUGUAGUCGAAAUAGAGGGGAUAUGAUACAUUUGCCUAUUUUGCUAAUAUAUAACGUUAAGCAGUCAAGCACUGUGUUUUGUUGUUAAAAUAUAUGCUACUUUUGUAUUUUAAAAAUAUCAAAAAGGAUUAUUCCUGAAUAUGUGGGCUUCUGAUAGCUUUAUCAUAUUCAUUUAAUUGAUUGAUACCGGUGUAGCAAAAAUGAAAUCCGCGUAGAAGGAAUUGAUGUAAAACUGGCCAUAUUUGGAACAUGACAGCGGGUGCCAAACGACAGUGUUUAUAUUACGGCUGUAAAAUAAAGUAAGGAAGGAAGGACCUCAACCUACACAUUUGUUCUCACCACCAAGCAAACUUUUAACUUGUAGUUAAAUAUUGUGUUUGACAUUACAAUUCUGAUGUUUUCACUCAGUGACACUGACCUUUGUAAAUAUAUAAUGUUUCCAAAAGGCACAGUUACGGAAGGGGUCUUGGUUUCUAUAUUGUCAUGAAACAGUAUUUGAUUUCUGCUCUUCUGACAUGACUUGUUUAAAAUUUCUACUAGAAAUGUAAAGUAAAAAAAACAUAAAAACACCUGUCACCAAUUUGUUACAUUACCUUGUUACAUUACCUUCCGUAUUAAAUCAAAAGACACAUAUUAUUGUUAAUUGAUAACUCACUGAAAGCUGUAAUUAUUUGUUGUACAGUUUCACGCACAGAUCCAGUAUAUAAUGCAGUAUAUAUUCCGUUUAGUCUUAGAACACUUUCCUGGCCGUGAGCAAUGUUUUUCUCACCCACAUUUGCAGUUAAAGCUUUCUUUUAGAGCUUUAAAGACUAACCAAACACCUCUUUCUCUGUUGCCUUCCCCUGAUGAUUUUGUUUUCAUUUUAUUUCUUAGGGUUAGCUAAAAGAUUUUUGGCAUUCAUUGACGGUCACGCGUUUUGACAAUAUGUUGAGUUUUUUUUUUUCUUCAUAAACCUACCAAAAGAGCUACUGUUCUAAAUAUUUUUUCCCCUGUAUUUUCCCCUGAUUUGUGAAUCCCCUCCACCACUGUUGUGAAAAUUGUACUACAAAUCUGUUGUUUAUUUAUAUAAGUACUGGGCACUGGCCAUAUGUUUACCUUACAAAUAUAUGGUUAUCUCAGAUGUUAAAGUGAUAGAUUUGACUGGUCAUAUAUCAUAUAAGCUCUGUAUUAAAAGAUUUUGUAUAUCA
Long non-coding RNA from Paramormyrops kingsleyae, 3242 nucleotides. RefSeq lists it as uncharacterized. The record is from RefSeq and is a predicted model, not a curated record. NCBI's taxonomy places the organism in Eukaryota, Metazoa, Chordata, Actinopteri, Osteoglossiformes, Mormyridae.